AUUGAACGCUGGCGGCAUGCCUUACACAUGCAAGUCGAACGGUAACGGGCCUUCGGGUGCCGACGAGUGGCGAACGGGUGAGUAAUGCAUCGGAACGUACCUUUCAGUGGGGGAUAACGUAGCGAAAGUUACGCUAAUACCGCAUAUUCUGUGAGCAGGAAAGCAGGGGAUCGCAAGACCUUGCGCUGAUUGAGCGGCCGAUAUCAGAUUAGCUAGUUGGUGAGGUAAAGGCUCACCAAGGCGACGAUCUGUAGCGGGUCUGAGAGGAUGAUCAGCCACACUGGAACUGAGACACGGUCCAGACUCCUACGGGAGGCAGCAGUGAGGAAUAUUGGUCAAUGGACGAAAGUCUGAACCAGCGACGCCGCGUGUGGGAUGAAGGGGCUUUGCCCUGUAAACCACUGUCGGAAAGGGAAAAAAGAAGUAUGAACUUCUGGGAUUGUACCUUCAAAGGAAGGAUCGGCUAACUACGUGCCAGCAGCCGCGGU
Molecule: ribosomal RNA, 488 nt
Filed under: uncultured bacterium
Lineage: Bacteria
Description: bacterial SSU rRNA
Rfam family: Bacterial small subunit ribosomal RNA
Source: RNAcentral